This is a small nuclear RNA of Electrophorus electricus (electric eel), 136 nucleotides long. The record is from Ensembl. NCBI's taxonomy places the organism in Eukaryota, Metazoa, Chordata, Actinopteri, Gymnotiformes, Gymnotidae.
AAAAAGGGCAUCUGUUGUGACUAACACAGUAGGGAAAGGGACUCUCUAACUCUACUGCGGAAUCGCUAUCAAGAGAUUUCGGAUGCACAAUUUUUAAAACUAGGGGCUGCUAAUGAUCGUCUGUCUUGGCGCCCCA